Molecule: ribosomal RNA, 1016 nt
Filed under: uncultured bacterium
Lineage: Bacteria
Description: bacterial SSU rRNA
Rfam family: Bacterial small subunit ribosomal RNA
Source: RNAcentral
AGGAAUAUUGGUCAAUGGGCGAGAGCCUGAACCAGCCAAGUAGCGUGAAGGAUGACUGCCCUAUGGGUUGUAAACUUCUUUUAUAAAGGAAUAAAGUCGGGUAUGGAUACCCGUUUGCAUGUACUUUAUGAAUAAAGAUCGGCUAACUCCGUGCCAGCAGCCGCGGUAAUACGGAGGAUCCGAGCGUUAUCCGGAUUUAUUGGGUUUAAAGGGAGCGUAGAUGGAUGUUUAAGUCAGUUGUGAAAGUUUGCGGCUCAACCGUAAAAUUGCAGUUGAUACUGGAUAUCUUGAGUGCAGUUGAGGCAGGCGGAAUUCGUGGUGUAGCGGUGAAAUGCUUAGAUAUCACGAAGAACUCCGAUUGCGAAGGCAGCCUGCUAAGCUGCAACUGACAUUGAGGCUCGAAAGUGUGGGUAUCAAACAGGAUUAGAUACCCUGGUAGUCCACACGGUAAACGAUGAAUACUCGCUGUUUGCGAUAUACUGCAAGCGGCCAAGCGAAAGCGUUAAGUAUUCCACCUGGGGAGUACGCCGGCAACGGUGAAACUCAAAGGAAUUGACGGGGGCCCGCACAAGCGGAGGAACAUGUGGUUUAAUUCGAUGAUACGCGAGGAACCUUACCCGGGCUUAAAUUGCAGAUGAAUUACGGUGAAAGCCGUAAGCCGCAAGGCAUCUGUGAAGGUGCUGCAUGGUUGUCGUCAGCUCGUGCCGUGAGGUGUCGGCUUAAGUGCCAUAACGAGCGCAACCCUUGUUGUCAGUUACUAACAGGUUCCGCUGAGGACUCUAGAGAGACUGCCGUCGUAAGAUGUGAGGAAGGUGGGGAUGACGUCAAAUCAGCACGGCCCUUACGUCCGGGGCUACACACGUGUUACAAUGGGGGGUACAGAAGGCAGCUACCUGGUGACAGGAUGCUAAUCCCAAAAACCUCUCUCAGUUCGGAUCGAAGUCUGCAACCCGACUUCGUGAAGCUGGAUUCGCUAGUAAUCGCGCAUCAGCCAUGGCGCGGUGAAUACGUUCCCG